Molecule: transfer RNA, 72 nt
Rfam family: tRNA
About the family: Transfer RNA (tRNA) molecules are approximately 80 nucleotides in length. Their secondary structure includes four short double-helical elements and three loops (D, anti-codon, and T loops).
Source: Rfam
GGGGAGUUAGCUCAGCGGUAGAGCGCUUGCUUAGCAUGUAAGAGGUCAUGGGUUCAAAUCCCAUAUUCUCCA